AACCCGACAUAAAAUACAACACGCGCUCAAGGUUCUCUCGGCGCUUGUUAGAAGUAUCUCCUGUAAAAUAAAUAAGUACACAAACUUCAAUGUUGGAAGGUUAUUUAAAAGUUUUUGUGCAAAUGAACCGCAAUAAACAGAUUGGACAAGAACGAAUUCCCCUAACUUCAGCACGAUGGACCCCAAAUGGGAAAAGUAAACCCGGGCGGCCAAAGCAAACCUGGAGAAGAACUGUAGAAGCAGGGGAUAUGGGGCCUGGGACGAGGCAAGGUUGCAAAAGGCUGCAAAGAAUGGCGUCACCGUGUCGCGGCCCUAUUUCCCACUAGGAAAAGGGGUUGAGCGAGUGAGUGACCGACAAACAUUGAAAAUAAACGAUGAAAAAGAUAAACAUAUAUUCUACCUA
Long non-coding RNA from Nematostella vectensis (starlet sea anemone), 403 nucleotides. RefSeq lists it as uncharacterized. Lineage: Eukaryota; Metazoa; Cnidaria; Anthozoa; Actiniaria; Edwardsiidae. The transcript has 2 exons. The record is from RefSeq and is a predicted model, not a curated record.